AAGGAGCACCACGAAAAGCAUUCCAAUUGGUGGAGUGUGAGCCGUGAGGGGUUCUCGUCUGUAGUGGACGAAAACCGGGUGCACAACAGCAAAUAUCGCCAGACACACUAUUGGGCCCUGAGACAACACUCGGUCGAUCCGUGUGGAGUCCCUCCACCUUGGUGGUGGGGUGUGGUGUUUGAGUAUUGGAUAGUGGUUGCGAGCAUCUAGAUGAACGCGCGGUCCUUCGUGGCCGGCGUGUUUAUCGAAAUGUGUAAUUUCUUUUUUGGUUUUUGUGUGU
This 280-nucleotide unclassified non-coding RNA is filed under the name Mycobacterium sp. RiVM 9601002. RNAcentral's name for it is "16S-23S intergenic spacer". Lineage: Bacteria; Bacillati; Actinomycetota; Actinomycetes; Mycobacteriales; Mycobacteriaceae. The record is from RNAcentral.